ACAGAGGUCUCAAGCGUUGUUCGGAUUCAUUGGGCGUAAAGGGUGCGUAGGUGGCGCCGUAAGUCAGGUGUGAAAUCUCGGGGCUCAACCCCGAAACUGCACUUGAUACUGCGGUGCUCGAGUACUGGAGAGGAGAUUGGAAUUUACGGUGUAGCAGUGAAAUGCGUAGAUAUCGUAAGGAAGACCAGUGGCGAAGGCGAAUCUCUGGACAGUUACUGACACUGAGGCACGAAGGCCAGGGGAGCAAACGGGA
RNAcentral lists this ribosomal RNA (253 nucleotides) under uncultured prokaryote. Its description in RNAcentral is "partial 16S ribosomal RNA". It matches the Rfam family "Bacterial small subunit ribosomal RNA", at positions 525 to 777 of the family's 1533-position model. The record is from RNAcentral.